AUACAGAGGGUGCGAGCGUUAAUCGGAAUUACUGGGCGUAAAGCGCGCGUAGGCGGCUUAUUAAGUCAGAUGUGAAAUCCCCGGGCUCAACCUGGGAACUGCAUCUGAUACUGGUAAGCUAGAGUUUUGGAGAGGGAAGUAGAAUUUCAGGUGUAGCGGUGAAAUGCAUAGAGAUCAGAAGGAAUACCAGUGGCGAAGGCGACUUCCUGGCCAAAAACUGACGCUGAGGUGCGAAAGCGUGGGUAGCAAACGGGAUUAGAAACCCUAGUAGUCC
This 274-nucleotide ribosomal RNA is filed under the name uncultured bacterium. RNAcentral describes it as "partial 16S ribosomal RNA". It matches the Rfam family "Bacterial small subunit ribosomal RNA", at positions 523 to 796 of the family's 1533-position model. The record is from RNAcentral.